This 445-nucleotide ribosomal RNA is filed under the name uncultured bacterium. Its description in RNAcentral is "partial 16S ribosomal RNA". It matches the Rfam family "Bacterial small subunit ribosomal RNA", at positions 354 to 796 of the family's 1533-position model. The record is from RNAcentral.
GUAAGGAAUAUUGGUCAAUGGGCGGAAGCCUGAACCAGCCAUGCCGCGUGCAGGACGACGGCCCUACGGGUUGUAAACUGCUUUUGCCCGGGAAUAACCCCCCGCUCUUGAGCGGGGCUGAACGUACCGGGAGAAUAAGGAUCGGCUAACUCCGUGCCAGCAGCCGCGGUAAUACGGAGGAUCCGAGCGUUAUCCGGAUUUAUUGGGUUUAAAGGGUGCGUAGGCGGCCUGUUAAGUCAGGGGUGAAAUACGGCAGCUCAACUGUCGCAGUGCCCUUGAUACUGACGGGCUUGAAUACCGGUGAAGGCGGCGGAAUGAGACAAGUAGCGGUGAAAUGCAUAGAUAUGUCUCAGAACCCCGAUUGCGAAGGCAGCUGCCUAACCGGCGAUUGACGCUGAUGCACGAAAGCGUGGGGAUCGAACAGGAUUAGAUACCCCUGUAGUCC